GAAAUGCGAUAAUUAAUGUGAAUUGCAGAAUUCAGUGAAUCAUCGAGUCUUUGAACGCACAUUGCGCCCCCUGGUAUUCCGGGGGGCAUGCCUGUCCGAGCGUCAUUGCUGCCCUCAAGCACGGCUUGUGUGUUGGGCUUCCGUCCCUGGCAACGGGGACGGGCCCAAAAGGCAGUGGCGGCACCAUGUCUGGUCCUCGAGCGUAUGGGGCUUUGUCCCGCUCCCGUAGGUCCAGCUGGCAGCUAGCCUCGCAACCAAUCUUUUUAACCAGGUUGACCUCGGAUCAGGUAGGGAUACCCGCUGAACUUAAGC
This 312-nucleotide unclassified non-coding RNA is filed under the name plant metagenome. RNAcentral's name for it is "partial contains 5.8S ribosomal RNA, internal transcribed spacer 2, and large subunit ribosomal RNA". The stretch from base 1 to 105 matches the Rfam family "5.8S ribosomal RNA", at positions 50 to 154 of the family's 154-position model. The record is from RNAcentral.